Molecule: unclassified non-coding RNA, 649 nt
Filed under: Hevea brasiliensis (rubber tree)
Lineage: Eukaryota; Viridiplantae; Streptophyta; Magnoliopsida; Malpighiales; Euphorbiaceae
Source: RNAcentral
UGAGUUCAAGCGAGAGAUUUAUGUGGUGCAAGCACAUGGAUCUGAUGCAAUGGUUGAUGAAGAGAAUUGUGUUUUCUUCCUCCCACAUCGUCCAAGAAGUGAAAUUUGUGAAGUUCCUUUCUUCCUAUUUAUGAAAGGAACAGGUUGGUGUGGUGCUGGAGCUGACCACUAUGAGCCAUUGAUUGGCCAUCCUUCUUCUCUUGUUUCCAAUGAGAAGUUUGCUGUAGUACUUUGAGGUAGUCCUACAGUUUUGCGGCUUAGAAGUUGAAUAGAAGUAGUUACAUUAUUUUCCCUCAUAUUAUUCGAUAUCCAAUGUUAUUAGCCUGAUUCUUUUGAGGAUCAGGAGGAUUUUUUUUUUUUUUUAAUUUUUUGUUGAGGUCAUGUAGAAUUGAUCUUUUGACUCUAGCUUGUAGGUUUGCUGCCUGCAAUUGAGCAAUCUUGUAGUAUUGGUGUAAUGGUUUUGCCGGCUUCUGUUUAUUGCUGUUGUUGAGUUUUCAGAAGGUUGCUUGAGUUGUAUAAGGGUACUAUUCUGUCUAAGCUGGAAUAGCACCAUUCUGUUGUAUUUUGAGCUGGAUUAAUCUAUUCAAUGAUAGAUUGUAGAAGUGAUUUUCCCCCAAAAAACAACAGAAUGGUGCUAUUCCAGCUUAGA